GACGUAGGGCGCGAGCGUUGUCCGGAUUUAUUGGGCGUAAAGAGCUCGUAGGCGGCUCGUCGCGUCGACCGUGAAAACCCGCGGCUUAACUGCGGGCUUGCGGUUGAUACGGGCGGACUAGAGGUAGGUAGGGGAGAACGGAAUUCCUGGUGUAGCGGUGGAAUGCGCAGAUAUCAGGAGGAACACCGGUGGCGAAGGCGGUUCUCUGGGCCUUACCUGACGCUGAGGAGCGAAAGCGUGGGGAGCGAACAGG
This 253-nucleotide ribosomal RNA is filed under the name uncultured bacterium. RNAcentral describes it as "partial 16S ribosomal RNA". It matches the Rfam family "Bacterial small subunit ribosomal RNA", at positions 524 to 776 of the family's 1533-position model. The record is from RNAcentral.